RNAcentral lists this small nucleolar RNA (80 nucleotides) under Erythranthe guttata (spotted monkey flower). RNAcentral describes it as "Mimulus guttatus (spotted monkey flower) Small nucleolar RNA Z102/R77". It matches the Rfam family "Small nucleolar RNA Z102/R77". From Rfam's summary of the family: Z102 and R77 and are members of the C/D class of snoRNA which contain the C (UGAUGA) and D (CUGA) box motifs. Most of the members of the box C/D family function in directing site-specific 2'-O-methylation of substrate RNAs. The record is from Rfam by way of RNAcentral. Lineage: Eukaryota; Viridiplantae; Streptophyta; Magnoliopsida; Lamiales; Phrymaceae.
GAAAGAGAUGAUGAUUAUUAACUCUUUGAUUAAGCUGAUAUGAUGGCUAGUUAUCAUGUAUUAGCUCUAGCUGAUCAUUC